UACGGAGGGUGCAAGCGUUACCCGGAAUCACUGGGCGUAAAGGGCGUGUAGGCGGAUCACUCAGUCUGGUUUUAAAGACCGGGGCUCUAAACCCCGGGCAUGGGACUGGACACCUGUGGUGAUCUUGACCUCUGGAGAGGUAGCUGGAAUUCCUGGUGUAGCGGUGGAAUGCGUAGAUACCGAGGAGGAACACCAGUGGCGAAGGCGGCUCACUGGUCCGGUACUGACGCUGAGGUGCGGAAAGCGUGGGGAGCAAACGGGAUUAAGAAACCCCAGGUAC
Molecule: ribosomal RNA, 280 nt
Filed under: uncultured bacterium
Lineage: Bacteria
Description: partial 16S ribosomal RNA
Rfam family: Bacterial small subunit ribosomal RNA
Source: RNAcentral